AGAAGAUGUACAUGCGACGGGAUUAAAGCAAGAAACUUUGAACCCUAGCGCCCCACGAGACGCUCUUGCGACUCACGGGGCGACACCCCCGCCGCCACCCCUAACCCUUCUUCUCCGCGCCUCUCACUCCCUGCCGCUCCAUCUCCUCCUCUCUCCCCAUCCUCUCCCCUCGCAUCUCCCUCUGGCUCGCGCGGCGCAAUUACGGGAGCGGACGCAAGCUCCCCGACGGCAUGACUCCGGCGGUGGUGGCUCGUCCUGCGGCUGCGCAGGGGCUUGCGCAGGCAUGCGGUGGCUCGCGUGCGGCGGCACUGGCGCGCAGUGGGGCGUGCGGAUCUGCGGAGCCGUGAUUCCGGCAGCGGUGGCCCAAUCCGUGGCGGCACAGGCGCGAAAACGUGCGGCGCUGAGACACACGGUGGGCUUGCUGCUCCUCGGUGAGCCUGUACGGCGAACGCCGCUGCUUGUAGGUGCUGCGAUGUUGGUUGGACAGUGUGCUCUGCGGUAGGGCACUGCGGUUCUUCGGCCGGCCGGCCGGCGUUUCUGUGUUGCUGCUGUGAUGUUGCCUGCGCCCUAGGGGCUGCGGUGGGUGUGGUGGCCUCGAGGGUGCUCGGCCACCGGUGUGUUGGGUGGUUCAGGAGGUGGCUCAGGAGGCGUGCUUGGUGCGUGUUGGCCGGCUUAGCUGGCCUCACGCAGGUGGCUGACGCUCGAAGGGAGGCAGGCAUUGGCGUGUGGCCUGUUGGGGUCGUCGGUGCUGUGCAUCAGGUUUUGCGGCACGCUCGUUUGCAUCCCUCUGGUGGCACCAUGUGGCUUGCAGCUGGCGCUUGUCGGGCUCUAGCACGGGGGGUUGUUGUGUGCACUGGUACCUGAUCGCCGUUGGUCUGGUUUUGCCCGUGCACAGGCCGGUUGGGCCACGUGCCAAUGCCUCAUGGGGUUGGUACUGUGGCAACCAUGUGCACCUUGAUGCGCGGCGAGUGGUGGCCUCUUAUGGCAGUGUGGCAGGCUAUCUAGGUUCUCGGACUAGUACGGCUAUCGGCGGUGCUAGGACUUGGUUGCUGUUCCUUUGCGAGGUUGUUGCGGUUGCAUGAGUGUUGAUCGUGGCGCUCCGGGCGAAAGCCUUGCAACGACCGGUGCCGGCGACGGCGACGCUCUCGGUGUCUUUUCCUCCUUGGUGGCGUCGUCGAGGAGCUUUGAUCCACAUCCAUGCCUUGUAUUCUAUUUCUCCGGGUGAAAACCCAGAUUUUGCUUGCCAGAUCGGAAGACGGCGGCGUCGUUGAUGUCGCUCCCUUAUUGGAGGCGUUGUUUUUGGAGGGUAAACCCUUGGCUGGAGCGUGUUCCUGCGACAUACACCUUGGCUUUAGUGGCCGAGUCUUGGGCACGCUAACACCGUGAUAGUGUGUGACCUUGGGUGGUAAGGGUAGUGGCUAGCGGAGGAUCCCGUGCCGCGGCAUCUUGGUCUCAUGGUUGCACGCGAUGGGUAUCGACCGGCGGUGGUGGAUGUUCGUUGUGACCAGCAGGGGAGCGAUGAGCUAUGGUGGCGCAAUGUUCGAGACGAGCGCGGCGAUCGGCGGUCCGAGGCUUCUGCAGUUGACGAGACGCCUCAUGGGGUUGUCUUUGAGUUCUGCGAGGCCGGCGGGCCACGGCGCCUUCUUCGCUAUCUUGUACUUUUGUGUUUUUGGCAUUUAGGCUUGCGGUUGAUUGACGGCGUUGGUUGUAAUGAUAUUUGUGGCUGUUGAUUGUGUUCUUGUUUUGAGUGUUCGCUUGGGUUGGCCUGUUUUUGGGCUUGUAAAUACAUUUUUUCUAUCAAUGCAUCAAGACGCAAACUUUGCGUUUUCUCGAAAAAAGAAGAAGAUGUACAUGCGUGUUAUGGACAUUUCACAGUAUAUCAUGCAAGUUCUGCUAAGGUAAAGCAAUGGGAAAAAUGGCCAAAGUUGCAGUUAAAUUUAAAGGUCCAUGGUUCUACCUCACUCUGAUCCAAAAUACUGUAUGUGUAGGCCGUGGAUGUGCUAUGGCCUAUCUGGGUGCAGUACCUUGCAAAUGUUGGUUUCUAUGCACAUUAGUGCCCCAUUGGUUCAGAUAUUAUGUUUAUAGGAUAUACACUUCUUUCCCUUAAUUUCCAUUUUGUUAUUCUUUUCUUGGCUGCUUCACAUUAAGUUCCUUUUAUACACUAAGAUAGUCCAUAACUGGUCUCCAAUUAAGCUUGAUGUUGUCCUUUACAGUUUGCUAGUUCUUUGCUGCCUGCUGCAAUUGCUAGCUAACUGCCGGAUGUGUUGCAGGUGCUCCUGUUGCCCCAUCGUCGCAAUCCAUGUUGGGCUCCUUGACAGAUCAAGCUAAAACCUCUGAGGUCUCGUCAUGGACAAAUGCAGUACUUCAUUCAGUGGCCCUGAAUAUUCAUUGUCAGCAGGCACAGGUAAGCAUUUAAGUGAAGCAGGUUGUUAUACUGAGUGCGCUUGCCAGGAUCUCAAUGGACUAAAGGAUCCAAGGGAUGAACUGACAACUGUUGAGGAGGAUCCUGAUCCGAAAAGGAACGAUGUGGGGAAGCAAGUCUGAAUAUCGUUGACUGAAGUUGGAGCCAUGGCUCGCAAGUCGCAAUCGCAUGCCCGCUGGUGCUGUUGUGAACUUUUGUGGCGUCUGUUCUGGUUGAGGAGAGGAUCGAUGAACUACGGGGUGCUGUUGAGCAUUGGGGUGUUUCGUGUCUGCUGCUACGACUUACUCUCUGAUUAUGUUACCUACCAGAGGCUACGUGCAACUCAGUAUUGUGAUGUCCACUCUGUUCUUGAGUGUCUAAAUGUUAGUCCCUUCUCUCCGUUUCAUAAUUCUUGUCUCCAAUUUGUUUAAAAAUGGAUGUAUCUAUUUUUAAAUAGUGUCUAGAUACAUGUAAUAUUUCGACAAGAAUUAUGGAACGGAGAAAGCAUUAGUUAGUAGUUACUGUAUGGACUACGGAGUACUGCUCUCGUUAGAACCAUCUUUUACCGGUCCGAGUCCUGCA
Molecule: RNA transcript, 2983 nt
Organism: Brachypodium distachyon (stiff brome)
Lineage: Eukaryota; Viridiplantae; Streptophyta; Magnoliopsida; Poales; Poaceae
Exons: 3
Source: RefSeq, a predicted model, not a curated record